UACUCUCACACUUCUAAUUCCUUUUGGGAUUGGGAGCGGUGGACUUGGGUGUUGCUGCUUUAGUUGUGGCUCACCUCAAAUAAGUUAGUGCAACUCUUGGUUGGACAUAGUACGGCGUGAUAAGUGUCUUCGCCGGCGCCUCUGUAAGGAGGGUGGCUGAUCGGGAGCUCUGUGCUUCAAACCGUCUUCGGACAAUCUUUGACA
This 204-nucleotide unclassified non-coding RNA is filed under the name uncultured Sebacinaceae. Its description in RNAcentral is "sequence contains ITS2". The record is from RNAcentral. Lineage: Eukaryota; Fungi; Basidiomycota; Agaricomycetes; Sebacinales; Sebacinaceae. RNAcentral also lists the same sequence under 1 other name.